AGUGAACGCUGGCGGUAGGCCUAACACAUGCAAGUCGAACGGCAGCACAGUAAGAGCUUGCUCUUACGGGUGGCGAGUGGCGGACGGGUGAGGAAUACAUCGGAAUCUACUUUUUCGUGGGGGAUAACGUAGGGAAACUUACGCUAAUACCGCAUACGACCUACGGGUGAAAGCAGGGGAUCUUCGGACCUUGCGCGAUUGAAUGAGCCGAUGUCGGAUUAGCUAGUUGGCGGGGUAAAGGCCCACCAAGGCGACGAUCCGUAGCUGGUCUGAGAGGAUGAUCGGCCACACUGGAACUGGGACACGGUCCAGACUCCUACGGGAGGCAGCAGUGGGGAAUAUUGGGCAAUGGGCGCAAGCCUGAUCCAGCCAUACCGCGUGGGUGAAGAAGGCCUUCGGGUUGUAAAGCCCUUUUGUUGGGGAAGAAAAGCAGCAGGUUAAUACCCCGCUGUUCUGACGGUACCCAAAGAAUAAGCACCGGCUAACUUCGUG
Molecule: ribosomal RNA, 492 nt
Filed under: uncultured bacterium
Lineage: Bacteria
Description: partial 16S ribosomal RNA
Rfam family: Bacterial small subunit ribosomal RNA
Source: RNAcentral